Molecule: ribosomal RNA, 1588 nt
Filed under: Triticum aestivum (bread wheat)
Lineage: Eukaryota; Viridiplantae; Streptophyta; Magnoliopsida; Poales; Poaceae
Description: partial small subunit ribosomal RNA
Source: RNAcentral
GGGGCGAAGGUAAGAUUAGGCGGGGGAGGGCUCUGCGGUUUCGGGGUUUGGGGAACGGGAGGGUUUGGGAUUGGGNUUUUGGAGGCGGGAGGGCGGCGGCGGCGGCGGGCUAAGGGGAGGGGUCGGAGGCGUAGGGCGGAUGCCGAACUUGCUACAGCAGGCUGCUCCUCCAGUCCCUCCUCUUCCUCGAGCUGGAGAGGAGGUUGCUCCAGCAGUGGUUCAUGUUCUGGCGGCGGCUCUAGUAAUUGUUCCGAGACUUCAACCAUAACAGCCUCACGUUCGGCUUUCGGUUCUAACAACUGUAAACACUCUUCCCACUGUUAAAGUAUUGUCUCGUUUGACCCUUACAGAUGUUCUUGCACUUCUCCUUCUAACUUUCCCCGUAACGAAAGGGCUGUACACAUAGACACUUGUUGUGGCAGACAGUAAAGAGGGGUGACCGUUGACUGCUAAGACAUGAGCUUCUUUUACUGUACCACUUCUAGCUAUACCGAACGGUAUAACUACCAAAAUAACGACACCACCGAGUAUGUGUACAUUAGUUUCGACCCGGCCAAUGACCUUCUCGUCGAUUACAAGAACGACGACGUUUGUGUCGUCGUCUUCAACGUUACUCCGAACAAUCUGGACCGUUCUUCUUAUUCCUACAGUGACUUCGUUAAGUCUUUCAACGACGACGAAUACUAACAUUUUAACAACUUCCUCAAGAAUCGGUAGUCGACUUUGUUAAACAGUAGCUACCAUUGUUUCACCAUGAAUCACAAAGUUUGCGCCUGUGUUUCCACCUACUACGACUUAAACUUCUUUUACUUCACAUACGUUAACUAUAACAGUGGUCGUGACCGCUCCCUUUCGGCUUCGAUGACCUACUCUUCGUCUGGUGAUAAAUGUUCUCUCGACAUCUGUUCUUGAUAGUGAACUUCUACUUCCGUAGUUCCAAGUAGAAGUCACUCUAAUCGGUCUUCAAGGGUUAGUACGGUAAGUGACGAUCCCGCGACCUCCUCUUCGCACGUGCGAAUCCAAACCAUCUUACGUACUUAGUACUCGACAACGUCGGUAUGGGACAAGAUGUACUCUUCGUUCCGCUGGACCAACGGGUGUAGUUCAAGUGGCACAACAACUACGGUUUACCCAGACUGUUCUAUUGAAGUGUAGGUGAUGUCGUUGACCUCGGGAGUUUUAGGUAGCUCCCGCUACGACUCUAAUUCCGAACCGAACGAAACCCGUGUUUCAGUUUCUUCUUCCCACCACCGUUCUUUUUCUUUCCGUUCUUUCCUCUACGACGUCUUCAUCGUCUCGGGUACCUCCAAAGAUUCCUGCGUGGUUCGGUCCUUAUUAAGAGUAAAAAAAACUUAACGAAGGAAAUGCAAACAUGGACGAGAAACGACGUAGACUAACACAAUAUAAUGUAAGUCGACACCCCUAAACUCAUGGAAAAAAACUUCACAGAUUACUUUUACCAACUAGGACCACGUGUAGUGUAGUUUCAUGUUCGGACUAUUAAUACGUACCACACGGCUUACAAAUGGACAGUCAUUACGAAUAUUUAGGCCGCAUUCAAGGUGAUGACACACUACAAAUGGACACG